UAUGGGAUUAAAUACUGCAGUCUGGACCCUGAGGUUGCACUCUGGACUAUGACCCUGCACUGCCUUCUGGUAAGGAGUAGGAAACUCCAUGGAACAGGCUGGGGGAUCUGCAAGAGGCUGGAGGUUCUACAGGGUCAUGGAAUUGCCAUUCUUGAAGACUUUUAUGACCAGCACAUGAUGCUUUGCAUUUUUGAUGGAAUAGUGACAAUUGAGGAGAUGAUUUCUCACCUCCCAUCCAGCUCCUUAAGUCUACAAAUGGCCCAAAUUGGUUGAUUGGUUACUCCAGGAGACCCUAAAGAGUAUCUAGAAGCCACAGGUAAAAUAGAAAUUUAGAACUGUUAUAAAAAGAAAAACAAAAAAGGCUUCCAGGUGAGAAUACCUUCAUUGUUUUCAUUGUCUACUUUAAAUAUCGUAUGACUUCAUCCAGAUUCAUGGUGGACCUGCGGUGGAUUACAAAUGGCUGCAAAUUCUUUGACACUCCUUUCAUUGAGAGAUGAAGUCCAUUUUCUGGCCGUUGAAUCUGGGCUGGUUUGUGACAGCCUUGAUGAAUGGAGUAUGAGUGUAAGAGACGCCAUGCAUUUCUAGAUCUUCUGUCUAAGGGGACUGGUAGCAUCUGCCUUGGUCUCUUGGGAGCCCUGAGUCAGGAUGCAAGAAACCCAACCACCCAGAGGUCUCUAUGCUGUGAGAAGCUCAAGCCACAUGGGGAGAACUCGGAGGAGAAAACUCCAUGUGAAGAGAGAAGCCAAGGAACGUUGAGGUGCCACACGUGUGAGUGAAGAAACUAUCUUGUAGGUGGAUCAUCCUGUCCCAGCUGCCACAGCGGAAAAUAUGCAGAUCAGAGGGGGAGUGCCCAGCUGAGCUCUUCCUGCAUUCCUCAUGUACUAUACCAAAUAACAGCAAACAAGAAGGUUGUUUUAGGUCACUCAGUUUGUGGGUAAUGUGUUAGCCAGCAAUAGAGAAUCAGAACAAGUUUGCUUCUUUAGGAGACUAAUGAUACAGGGACCCCAGAUCUCAUUGUUAUGACUUCCCACUGCCACUUGCCUUCUUUUCUUUUCCCCUAUUUUUCACUCUCUCUCUUUACUCUUCAAGCUUUUACUCUCAUUGCAAACACAGCUCAAAACAUUUCCUCCCAUGAUUUUGCUUUUGUGUCAGUCUAUUGGAGUGUCUUCCGUUCUUCUCAUUGGAAGAUUUGCCUUUCUCACCACUUGUAGUUCCAGUUUUAUAUACUACAGUCUUACUAUAUUACCCCAGUAGGAUGAAUCAGAAUUUGUGGAAAAGAAAUUAUGGUUUUUUAAAAAAUUUUGCUUAUAAUACAGACAUUUUUAAAGGAAUGUGGUUUUUGCUUGUAGAUAACACAACAAUCCACACUAACUGCUAAGUGCUUUUAAGCUGGCAUUCGUCUCAGCCCGCUUUAAUGAACAGAUAACUCAUUUAUAAUUAGCAGUGCCAAUUAAUUGGCAUGCAAACAAUUAAGGUGAUUAAAGUGCUAAAGUUCUUAAGAACAGUUUUUCCUAAGUAGGUUAUAGACAAACCCUCCCUGACCCUGCAUCUUGUUUACAUCAUUAAAUUGCUGAGGAAGACUUUAUGUACAGAUAGCACAUUAGGAAAUUUUAACUCAGCCUUGGUCAGAUAGCCCUGAUUUUGAAUAAGUGAGUCCCAUCUAUGAAGAAUUUAUUGUGCUCUGAUUUUCCAAAUCAAUAGUUUUUUUUAAAAAAGUUUAAAUUAUGUACAUUUGUUGGCAUCCUGCCAACUCAUUCUCCUCUACAACAAUCACCACCCAAGGGCCUCUGCAAAUCUGAAGCACUCAAAAUCCCACCCAGAUCACUUUUCUGUGCUAGUUCUUACAUCUUUCUUAUAUCCUAGAAAAUGGAUAGAAGGCUGUGAGGUUUUAUUUUAGAUGGCUAUGACUUGCUUCUAAUAGAAUGUACCAGAAAUGACAUUGUGUGAUUUCUAAGGCUAAACCAAAAAAGGCAUUGCUGUUCCUGCCUGGUCUGCUUGGACACCUGCUUUUGAGGCUCUGGGCUGCCACGUUAAACUGUCGACCCCCUUGAGGCUGCCACUCUGUGAGGAAACCCAGGUCACAUGGAGGGGCCUAUAAAGAUGCUCUGGUUGACAGCUCCAGCUGGGAUCCCAGGUAGCAGCCAGCAUCAACACCAGACAUGAGUGAAAAUGCCCGAGGAUGGUUCCAGACCCCAGCCACUGAGUCACCUCCAGCCUUCAAGUCUUCCCAGCUGAGGCUCCAGACAUGCUGGAGCAGAGACAAGCCAUCUCUGCUGUGCUCAUUCCAAAUCUCCAACCCACAAAAGCUGGGAGCAUAAUAAAAUAGCUGC
Leopardus geoffroyi (Geoffroy's cat) is the source of this 2330-nucleotide long non-coding RNA. RefSeq lists it as uncharacterized. The transcript has 3 exons. Lineage: Eukaryota; Metazoa; Chordata; Mammalia; Carnivora; Felidae. The record is from RefSeq and is a predicted model, not a curated record.